ACGGGAGGCAGCAGUGGGGGAUAUUGCACAAUGGGGGAAACCCUGAUGCAGCGACGCCGCGUGAGUGAAGAAGUAUUUCGGUAUGUAAAGCUCUAUCAGCAGGGAAGAUGAUGACGGUACCUGACUAAGAAGCCCCGGCUAACUACGUGCCAGCAGCCGCGGUAAUACGUAGGGGGCAAGCGUUAUCCGGAUUUACUGGGUGUAAAGGGAGCGUAGGCGGCCAGACAAGUCAGGUGUGAAAACCCGGGGCUUAACCCCGGGACUGCACUUGAAACUGCCUGGCUGGAGUGCAGGAGAGGCAAGUGGAAUUCCUAGUGUAGCGGUGAAAUGCGUAGAUAUUAGGAAGAACACCGGUGGCGAAGGCGACUUGCUGGACUGAGACUGACGCUGAGGCUCGAAAGCGUGGGGAGCAAACAGGAUUAGAUACCCUGGUA
RNAcentral lists this ribosomal RNA (434 nucleotides) under uncultured Lachnospiraceae bacterium. RNAcentral's name for it is "partial 16S ribosomal RNA". It matches the Rfam family "Bacterial small subunit ribosomal RNA", at positions 341 to 792 of the family's 1533-position model. Lineage: Bacteria; Bacillati; Bacillota; Clostridia; Lachnospirales; Lachnospiraceae. The record is from RNAcentral.